CGGGGUGAGUAAUGUCUGGGAAACUGCCUGAUGGAGGGGGAUAACUACUGGAAACGGUAGCUAAUGCCGCAUAACGUCGCAAGACCAAAGAGGGGGACCUUCGGGCCUCUUGCCAUCGGAUGUGCCCAGAUGGGAUUAGCUAGUAGGUGGGGUAACGGCUCACCUAGGCGACGAUCCCUAGCUGGUCUGAGAGGAUGACCAGCCACACUGGAACUGAGACACGGUCCAG
RNAcentral lists this ribosomal RNA (229 nucleotides) under uncultured bacterium. Its description in RNAcentral is "partial 16S ribosomal RNA". It matches the Rfam family "Bacterial small subunit ribosomal RNA", at positions 104 to 334 of the family's 1533-position model. The record is from RNAcentral.